Molecule: long non-coding RNA, 1747 nt
Organism: Oncorhynchus tshawytscha (Chinook salmon)
Lineage: Eukaryota; Metazoa; Chordata; Actinopteri; Salmoniformes; Salmonidae
Source: Ensembl
GGAAAAUGAACAUGUAAUGUGUCAUCUUUGACACUUGCAAGCAGACCGCAUUUCAAUCACAUUCAAUACACACCCAAGACUAACUGAAGUUACCAUUCUCAGCAUUCCAUUUCCUUAAAAUCUGUCAAAAUGACAUUUGGCACAGGACCAAUGUUUCCACUGUGUUCUAGCAUGCUACCUGGUCCUUAAAUCAUUUUACCUGUUAAGAUGACUAAUGCAUUUAUUCUAGCAAUGUAAGAGAUUUGUGAGCACUACUUUAGUCUUCUGGGGCAACAAGUUAUGACAGAAGAGAAGCUGCAUGUAUUAAAAUAUAGUUGACAAAUGGCCUACCAAAAGGAAGUAAGCAGAAACUUUUCUAAAUUAGGGGUGAACAUAGCCAUUAAGCUCAGUAAUGGUGGAUCAAAUUGAGCAAGUAGCCCACUUUAAAUGAAUUUGACAGAGUCAGACAACCAUGAGACGUUUCACCACAAAAACAGAAUUGAUGGUUACAUGCCACAGUAGCCCAUCUCCAGGGUACAAGCUUUCUCAGGUUUUUGUAAAACAGGAUUUGAUGUUUACAUGUCAACACAAAAUAAAUACUUUAGUAUCCCGAACGGGAUAUUGAUGGUCAGUGGCUUUAACGUAGAGCCAAUCUUGGGAUUUGUCAACCAGCAGCAAAGAAAAUAAAUUAUAUAUUUCAAAUCCAAAAGAAUAGGAACAUUCCCUUUUACUACAAAUUGCACUGGCAACCAACACGGUUCUCAACCAGCUAGCCAAAGGUAGACAUUAAACACACAGUAUUUCAAAACACAAGGAGGCACUUAAAGUACAAUAUUUUAUUGUUUUACAAGUAAUGCAGGGUAGCAUGAGCAGCAGCAUCUCCCUGGCCGACGCAAAAGCAUACAGUGGAAGCUUAAAGAAAGUGUCAGCAACAACUUGGAUUUGUCAUCUAAAGGAUGAAUCUACCAUUGCAAUUCUGUUGAUAGAUGAUUAGUACAAAUGAUUUCUAAAUCAGAACGCAAAGUGCAGGUGAGUGUAAAAGUUGCACAUUACAUCCCAGUAGACUUCCCUUGUGGCAGGGCACCUUUAGCAGGUUGUGAGUUUUUAGCAGGUGGGGAUAUGCUUGGUUCAGAGAUGCCAACGUCCUUGAGAGUAUCUCCGCUAUCAAAAUGGUAUAACCUCCCCAGUGGUGUGGCAGGUUUGGGAGUAGACAGUCUUGCCAUUCUCAUACACAGAUUUGUAAAUAUAUUGGGAUGAGAACUGACUAUUCAACGAUGCUGCCUUGAACGCUGAUGGAGCUGAGACAUUGGGUACUUUCAUUGGCCCCAUCAGACCCAAAAUCCUGAGAAACACCACUGCUGCUAAAAUCCAUGUUGCUUGAGGAGUUGGCCCUCCUGUUCGAGGCCUGUGGCUUCCGCCGAGGCAAGGGCGCCUGUGGCUUCCGCCGAGGCAAGGGCGCCUGUGGCUUCCGCCGAGGCAAGGGCGCCUGUGGCUUCCGCCGAGGCAAGGGCGCCUGUGGCUUCCGCCGAGGCAAGGGCUCCUGUGGCUUCCGCCGAGGCAUUUGAACCAGAUUUGAUGAGGUACCGACUUGAUGAGGUACUGUGGCCGGUUUCUUCACCUAAGGCAUUUGGGCCAGUCGUGGCACUUGCUGAGGCAUUGUGGGUGACUGCUUCUGAGGCACGGGAUCCGGUUGCUCCACCUAAGGUAUUUGGGCCAGUCGUGACGCUUGCAGUGGCAUUACGGGUGGCUGCUUCACCUGCCGAGACAC